GACGAACGCUGGCGGCGUGCCUAAUACAUGCAAGUUGAGCGCUGAAGGUUGGUACUUGUACCGACUGGAUGAGCAGCGAACGGGUGAGUAACGCGUGGGGAAUCUGCCUUUGAGCGGGGGACAACAUUUGGAAACGAAUGCUAAUACCGCAUAAAAACUUUAAACACAAGUUUUAAGUUUGAAAGAUGCAAUUGCAUCACUCAAAGAUGAUCCCGCGUUGUAUUAGCUAGUUGGUGAGGUAAAGGCUCACCAAGGCGAUGAUACAUAGCCGACCUGAGAGGGUGGUCGGCCACAUUGGGACUGGGACACGGCCCAAACUCCUACGGGAGGCAGCAGUAGGGAAUCUUCGGCAAUGGACGAAAGUCUGACCGAGCAACGCCGCGUGAGUGAAGAAGGUUUUCGGAUCGUAAAACUCUGUUGGUAGAGAAGAACGUUGGUGAGAGUGGAAAGCUCAUCAAGUGACGGUAACUACCCAGAAAGGGACGGCUAACUACGUG
This 497-nucleotide ribosomal RNA is filed under the name uncultured bacterium. Its description in RNAcentral is "partial 16S ribosomal RNA". It matches the Rfam family "Bacterial small subunit ribosomal RNA", at positions 28 to 507 of the family's 1533-position model. The record is from RNAcentral.